Molecule: ribosomal RNA, 506 nt
Filed under: uncultured bacterium
Lineage: Bacteria
Description: partial 16S ribosomal RNA
Rfam family: Bacterial small subunit ribosomal RNA
Source: RNAcentral
AGUGAACGCUGGCGGUAGGCCUAACACAUGCAAGUCGAACGGCAGCACAGGAGAGCUUGCUCUCUGGGUGGCGAGUGGCAGACGGGUGAGGAAUACAUCGGAAUCUACUUUUUCGUGGGGGAUAACGUAGGGAAACUUACGCUAAUACCGCAUACGACCUACGGGUGAAAGCAGGGGAUCUUCGGACCUUGCGCGAUUGAAUGAGCCGAUGUCGGAUUAGCUAGUUGGCGGGGUAAAGGCCCACCAAGGCGACGAUCCGUAGCCGGUCUGAGAGGAUGAUCAGCCACACUGGAACUGAGACACGGUCCAGACUCCUACGGGAGGCAGCAGUGGGGAAUAUUGGACAAUGGGCGCAAGCCUGAUCCAGCCAUACCGCGUGGGUGAAGAAGGCCUUCGGGUUGUAAAGCCCUUUUGUUGGGAAAGAAAUCCAGCUGGUUAAUACCCGGUUGGGAUGACGGUACCCAAAGAAUAAGCACCGGCUAACUUCGUGCCAGCCGCCGCAGUAA